AUUCAUAGAUACGCAUACAGGCAUAUUAGACAUGGAUUUUUGCACACUGAUGUUCCCUAAGAGCUCCCUCUCAGUGAAAGAAGAAAAGGAUGUAUGGCGAUUAUUCAUAUAUACAUUGUUGGGUGAAGAAGAAGGUGCUGACUAUUACACACACACACACACACAAAACACACGUUAAGUUUGAUUAGCGACCGUAGUACAAGUGAUCAAAAUGGCAGCAGUGUUUCUAGCGAGAAGCAAGUAUUGGCGGCCAUGCCAAUGAAGCUACCUAUUGGAGACGGGGUUUGGGCCGCUGGGGACUUCAUGCUUGCUCUCUUCAAACUGGGAAGAUGGGACGCCAACCUGCUGUGGAUGCAACUUGGUGGUUUGGGAUGCAGAAUGGAAGAGAAGCCGCCGGGUAGAGAGAGCUGGGGCCAUGGAGAUCUUCAGCUGAUCAGCUGGCCGAGCCAAGGGCAGUAGAAAGAGGCAGAGGAACCAUAAGCGUAGCAGAUUUGAUCUCCUAAGAAGGCUUUGGUCGAUUGCCAUGCAGAUUUCAGCCUGAAGACCUGAAACUCCCACCCGAAGAGCCCACAAGAGACCAGUAUCCAUGAACCACUCGAGCCAACGAAGUGAGGAAAGCCUUCGAAUGAGAGAGGAAAGGAGGCCCGAGGAACAGAAGAACACAUGUAAAGAUAAGCGGAAAAGGCCAAACCUUACUAGUUGAAUUCAAAAUAUGACAGAAGAAUCAUUGAAUGGGGAUGGAGCUGUUACAUGGCUACUCCUUACUUUAUCUACCUCCUAAUGGACGGGUUGUUAAGAUUCAUUAAAUGAGAUGACAUGUGCCACCUUGUUUUCUUAAA
This 839-nucleotide long non-coding RNA is filed under the name Phoenix dactylifera (date palm). RNAcentral's name for it is "long non-coding RNA (PDAC_LNC007362)". The record is from RNAcentral. Lineage: Eukaryota; Viridiplantae; Streptophyta; Magnoliopsida; Arecales; Arecaceae.